Small nuclear RNA from Otolemur garnettii (small-eared galago), 164 nucleotides. Its record names the gene U1. It matches the Rfam family "U1 spliceosomal RNA". Rfam says of the family: U1 is a small nuclear RNA (snRNA) component of the spliceosome (involved in pre-mRNA splicing). Its 5' end forms complementary base pairs with the 5' splice junction, thus defining the 5' donor site of an intron. The record is from Ensembl. Lineage: Eukaryota; Metazoa; Chordata; Mammalia; Primates; Galagidae.
AUACAUACCUGGCAGGGGAGGUACCAUGAUCACAAAGGUGGUUUUCCCAAGGUGAGGCUUAUCCACUGCACUCUGGAUGUGCUGACCCCUGCAAUUUCCCCAAAUGUGGGAAACUCGAUUGAGUAAUUUGUGGUAGUGUGGGAGUGUGUUCGUGCUGUCUCCUU